This 253-nucleotide ribosomal RNA is filed under the name uncultured bacterium. RNAcentral describes it as "partial 16S ribosomal RNA". It matches the Rfam family "Bacterial small subunit ribosomal RNA", at positions 524 to 776 of the family's 1533-position model. The record is from RNAcentral.
UACGUAGGGGGCAAGCGUUGUCCGGAUUUAUUGGGCGUAAAGAGCGUGUAGGCGGCCUGGUAGGUCAGCUGUGAAAACUCGAGGCUCAACCUCGAGACGCCGGUUGAAACCAUCAGGCUAGAGUCCGGAAGAGGAGAGUGGAAUUCCCGGUGUAGCGGUGAAAUGCGCAGAUAUCGGGAAGAACACCCGUGGCUAAGGCGGCUCUCUAGUACGGUACUGACGCUGAGGAGCGAAAGCGUGGGUAGCAAACAGG